This is an RNA transcript of Entelurus aequoreus (snake pipefish), 3010 nucleotides long. RefSeq lists it as uncharacterized. The record is from RefSeq and is a predicted model, not a curated record. NCBI's taxonomy places the organism in Eukaryota, Metazoa, Chordata, Actinopteri, Syngnathiformes, Syngnathidae. The transcript is spliced from 10 exons.
CAUUAGCUCAUCGCUUGUGACGAGCGUAACUUUGUUUUUACAAGCACGGGAAGACAGAAAGUGGAUCAUUUUAGUUGAAUUAAAGAAAGAAGUCAUCACAAACAUGAGCUAGCUAACUUGGCGAGGCAGAUGGAGCGUAGCACUGCUAGUCUGCGCCACACUGAAGCACAAUGAGUCCUUAACGCCAGCCCAGGACCCAUUUAUGCACGAAAAUAUGGAGAAGCUGCUUCUGGUGUGUUUGACGUAGAAGCAUCUGGAAGGAAAUACCGUAAAAGUCCACUCCCCAAGAACGAGUUUUCCGAGGCACGUGAACCAAUUAAAGUUAUAUCCCGAGGUACUUCUAAGAUGGCGCCAAGCAGAGGGUAGGCGGGCACGGCGGUGGGCGUGGCAGCGGCGGAGCGGAUGGCGUUGUAGACGGCUCGCCCUCGGCCCCUCAGCGCCGAGCCGCGGUAGGCCAGAGCGGGCGCCGCCAUGGGGUAGGGGAAGCUGGCCACUGAGGGACAGAAGACGGUGAGGAGUACGUCAUGUUGGAACAGCGUGUUGCGUUCACUGACCCGUGUAGAGUUCGGGUGCGUACAUGGCGCCCAUGACCGGGUUGAUCUUCCAGCCGGAAGCUGCGGGCAAGAACAGCUUUUUGAUUUUCUUUCUUUAGCGUCGAGAAGGCAAACUUGUCUUUACCCGACAUGUCGCCGCUCACCAGCGCCGUCUGCGGCUUCUUGGUGACUACCCUCGCCGUGGCGUUGUUCACCUGAGGGACCAUGAAGGCAACACAAUAGGACCAUGAAGGCAACACAGUAGGACCAUGAAGGCAACACAAUAGGACCAUGAAGGUAACACAAUAGGACCAUGAAGGCAACACAAUAGGGCCAUGAAGGCAACACAAUAGGACCAUGAAGGCAACACAGUAGGACCAUGAAGGCAACACAAUAGGACCAUGAAGGAGUAAUACUGGGUGUGUUAAAGGGGAUGCUCUAUCGCCACGGCAACCGACUCGCCUCGAUCUUCCUCCCUUCCACGAUGGUGCUGUUCAGUUUUUCCCUGGCCCGGUCGGCUUCGGCGGCGCUCUCGAAGGUCACGAAGCCGAAGCCCUGCGUGUGUUGGAGACCUCGGAUCUUCCCAAAUUGCUGAGGGAGAGAGAGAGAGAGAGAGAGAGAGGUUGUUAUGGCGACGGCGGCGGAGGCAGGACGCCCGGCGGUCCUCACCCCGAACAUCUGCCGGAGGUCAGGGUCUCGGAAGCGGAAGGGUAUGUUGGAGACGUGCAGGCGCUUGGGCUGGGCCGACCCCUCCUCCUCCUCGCCGCCGCUGCCCGCGCCGUCUAACGUCACUUGGAGGUCGGAGGUCACGGGGGCGUCGUCCUGAAAGGCCCUCCUUACCGUGCUGCUGGACAUCAGUGGCUCCGCCCCCUCGAGCUGGGGGCCCUGGUAGACCCUCAGCUGGGGGAGCUCGGGGUACUCUGAGGCGGGGUGAGCGGGAGUAAACUCCAGAGGCGGCAGCCGCCCCGCAGAGGUCGCCGACCCUUGACCUGGGACAGGUUGGCAGCUCGGGGUCAGAGGUGGACCACCUGGUGGCUGCUGGGACAGACCACGCCCACUGCAGGAACAAUUGUCUGGCAAGGCUGUGGGCGAUCAGCAAUCUGCACACCUGGGACUGAUGAGGUUGAGCGGUAUAAAGACCAGUGGACCCAAGGAUCCUAGCCGGAACUUAAUCCUGUUAACGUUUGCUUCCCGUGUCCUCCAUCUUCCAGCCUGGACUUUGGACUGCCUCCCUCGAUCCUCGACCCCCGCUUUGCAUACGGACACCUUGACGCCUCUCUCAGACCCACGGACCUACCGCUUGUCUCACGGACCUUCUGCUUUGUCCUUCCUCUCGCCCAACACAUCACGGAAGUCCAUAAGGCUGCAGGAUGACGGCGGGCGAGGAGAGCAUAGCCACAGACUACUGGCACGUGUGAAGAGACCAACUGGAGGAGAAGUCCACAGAAAAGGGAGUAUAAAAGAAGCAGCAGCAGCAGCAGGUGGAGGCCAAGUGAGUGUUGAACAUGACGGACAGAAACACCUGCUGAGGCUCUUGUUUCAGCGUUGUAAAAAUAGUCAUGUCCUUGCUGCUUACACACAUGCAGCACAACACUUCUUAUCACACUAUUUCACGCCUUCAAAAUAAGAGCCCUGUACGCGCCACCUCGGACUCCCAAGAUCUUGUAGGAGUCUCCAACUUUUUCCAGGCCAGAAACCCCCAAACUGACGGAGCAGGGCUGCCCCCAAACUCUGACAUCACCUGGACAAAGAUAAGACCUUCUGGAGGAAAGUUCUGUGGUCAGAUGAAACAAAAAUGGAGCUGUUUGGCCACAAUACCCAGCAAUAUGUUUGGAGGAGAAAAGGUGAGGGCUUUAACCCCAGGAACACCAUUCCUACCGUCAAGCAUGGUGGUGGUAGUAUUAUGCUCUGGGCCUGUUUUGCUGCCAAUGGAACUGCUGCUUUAAAUGGGACAAUGAAAAAGGAGGAUUAGCUCCAAAUUGUUCAGGACAAGCUAAAAUCAUCAGCCCGGAGGUUGGGUCUUGUUGGGUGUUCCAACAGGACAAUGACCCCAAACACACCUCAAAAGUGGUAAAGGAAUGGCUCAAUCAGGCUAGAAUGAAGGUUUUAGAAUGGCCUUCCCAAAGUCCUGACUUAAAGGUGUGGACAAUGCUGAAGAAACAAGUCCAUGUCAGAAAAGCAACACAUUUAGCUGAACUGCAGCAAUUUAGUGGUCAAGCAGAAGCUUGUGGAUGGCUACCAAAAGUGCCUUAUUGCAGGUAAACUUGCCAAGGGACAUGUAAGCAAAUAUUAACAUUGCUGUAUGUAUACUUUUGACCCUCACAUUUUCAGUAGACCCAUAAUAAAUUCAUCAAAGAAGCAAACUUCAUGAAUGUUUUAUGUGACCAACAAGUAUGUGCUCCAAUCACUACAUCACAAAAAAAUAAAGAGUUUUAGAAAUGAUUGGAAACUCAAGACAGCCAUGACAUGAUGUUCUU